UGGGGAAUUUUGGACAAUGGGCGAAAGCCUGAUCCAGCCAUGCCGCGUGAGUGAAGAAGGCCUUCGGGUUGUAAAGCUCUUUUAGUCGGAAAGAAAGAGUUGCAAUGAAUAAUUGUGAUUUAUGACGGUACCGACAGAAAAAGCACCGGCUAACUACGUGCCAGCAGCCGCGGUAAUACGUAGGGUGCGAGCGUUAAUCGGAAUUACUGGGCGUAAAGGGUGCGCAGGCGGUCUUGCAAGUCAGAUGUGAAAGCCCCGGGCUUAACCUGGGAAUUGCGUUUGAAACUACAAGGCUAGAGUGCAGCAGGGGAGUGGAAUUCCAUGUGUAGCAGUGAAAUGCGUAGAGAUGUGGAAUAACACCGAUGGCGAAGGCAGCUCCCUGGGUUGACACUGACGCUCAUGCACGAAAGCGUGGGGAGCAAACA
This 425-nucleotide ribosomal RNA is filed under the name uncultured bacterium. RNAcentral describes it as "bacterial SSU rRNA". It matches the Rfam family "Bacterial small subunit ribosomal RNA", at positions 355 to 774 of the family's 1533-position model. The record is from RNAcentral.